GAGGAGGAUUCAAGGGGCCACCGACCGUCAUCUCACGUUUGGCGACCGAUGUGACACGAUCGUUACUCUGGACUAAGAGGCCAAGGCCCAUAGCCCACAUUAUAUACUGCAACCGCAAGCGCUCGCAGGUCCCAAGGAACCGUUCUGUUCGUAGGCGGCCAUAGGCCGCCCACAAAAGAGGGGUCACAAGGCCUGCCCAGAGCCGCCCUCAACCCGUUCACAA
This 223-nucleotide unclassified non-coding RNA is filed under the name Hevea brasiliensis (rubber tree). The record is from RNAcentral. Lineage: Eukaryota; Viridiplantae; Streptophyta; Magnoliopsida; Malpighiales; Euphorbiaceae.